GCGGGCGUAGUUUAAUGGUAGAACAUGAGCUUCCCAAGCUCAGAGCGCGAGUUCGAUUCUCGUCGCCCGCU
Molecule: transfer RNA, 71 nt
Organism: Streptomyces sp.
Lineage: Bacteria; Bacillati; Actinomycetota; Actinomycetes; Kitasatosporales; Streptomycetaceae
Rfam family: tRNA
About the family: Transfer RNA (tRNA) molecules are approximately 80 nucleotides in length. Their secondary structure includes four short double-helical elements and three loops (D, anti-codon, and T loops).
Source: Rfam